RNAcentral lists this ribosomal RNA (253 nucleotides) under uncultured bacterium. RNAcentral's name for it is "partial 16S ribosomal RNA". It matches the Rfam family "Bacterial small subunit ribosomal RNA", at positions 524 to 776 of the family's 1533-position model. The record is from RNAcentral.
UACGAAGGGGGCUAGCGUUGCUCGGAAUCACUGGGCGUAAAGCGCACGUAGGCGGAUUGCUAAUUCAGGGGUGAAAUCCUGGAGCUCAACUCCAGAACUGCCUUUGAUACUGGCGAUCUUGAGUCCGGGAGAGGUGAGUGGAACUGCGAGUGUAGAGGUGAAAUUCGUAGAUAUUCGCAAGAACACCAGUGGCGAAGGCGGCUCACUGGCCCGGUACUGACGCUGAGGUGCGAAAGCGUGGGGAGCAAACAGG